UCUCCUGAAAUCCCACAAUGCAUUGCAGCAGGUUAUGCUGCAGUAUAUAACUGCGCCUUAUUCACUAGCAGUAAUGGAAAAAUCUGUCUCUUUUCAUUGAUUCAGCUCACCAAUAAGAGUCGACACUUUCAGCUCCUAAACGGCUCGUUCCCAAGUCCGUCUAAAAGGGGCAGUUUGCAAUAUUGUUGCCAGCGAUUGUUCUUUGUUGGCUGAAAUUGCAUGUUCAAACUGCAUUUUAUCAAAUGUAAUUAAAUAAUUGUUGGCCUAAAUCAUCAAGUCACCACAAAUCAUUAACAAAGGCCGCAUUGUUGUUGUUCCGCUUUAGUUUGGAUCAUUAAGGAGAUUUAUUUCCAUUUAUCCUGAUAAAGGAUCGCUUCCCAUCCCCUACAAACAGUUGAGAUUCAAACACAUGCAGCUUGGAUGUCAAAAAGAGGUUUCUAAGGAAGAAGUUAAGCUGUCUGAUGAUGAAUGAAUGUAAAUAAAUAAAUGAUAAAUGAGCACUGACAUAUCCUUUAUGUACAAAAGGGAAAAAAAGAGCCAUCUCAGAGAUUCACAAAAACAGACUCAUCACUACUAUAUAGUGCACUAAUUUUGAAGUAGAGGUGGCCGAUAUCACAAAAAUAUCAAACCCUCCAUCCUACUCGACCAAACUACUGUUGGAACUCUGCAUUAUGGUAGGUAGCGUUCUCCUGGUAUCCACCAAGCCCAGAUUCAUCCAUCAGACUACCAGAUGUGACGCAUGAUAGAUCACUCUAGAGAACAUGUUUCCACUGCUCCAUUGGCGGCGCUUUACACCACUGCAGCCGACGAGUGGCAUUGCGCAUAGUGCACAUAUUCUUGUGUGCAGCUGCUCAGCCAUGGAAACCUAUUUCAAGAAGCUCCCAACAUCAACUUGUGCUGAUGUUGCUUCCAGAGGCAGUCUGCAACUCUGUAAUGAGCGAUGCAUCAGAUAGAUGAUUUUUAUGCGCUACACACUUCAGCUCUGUGAGAUUGUGUGGUCUACCACUUCAUAUCUGAGCUGAUGUUACCCCUAGAUACUUCCUUUUCACAAUAAUAGCAAUUAGAGUGCACCAACUGACUGGUGGCAAAGGUGGCAUCCUGUGUCAGUGCCAUGUUUAAAGUCACUGAGCUCUUCAGUACAAACCAUUCUGUAUGGAGAUUACAUGACUAUAUGGCUGAUUUGAUUUUAUGUGGCAAUGGGUAUGGCUGAAACACCUGAAUUAGUUGGGGUGUCCACAUACUUGUGGCCAUGUAGAGUAUAUUCACAGUAUGUAAUUCUUAUAAGAAUAAUGAUGAUCCAGAAAAUACAUCUUGAAACUGGACUGAGACAAAACCGAUCCCAAUAAUAUCCCCAAUAUUACAUCAAUAUUAUAUCAUCCAGCACUAAAGUGAUGUUUCGCAAAUUGUAGCCAUGUAGAAAUCCUACUCCACACUGUUGAGGGAUUAAAUGAUGUAUUUUAGGGAACAGGAAGUGGGUAUCCACCUCUCUUCUGAAGUCCCACAAUGCAUUGUAGUAUAUCAGCCUCCCCAUGAUGAAGCCUUGAGGAUACAGAGCACCUACAGGACACUUCGGCACAGGCAGCGUUCACUAUGUGGGGCACCACAAGUAUUGCGAAUUUUCUAACUCAUACCUGAAAACCGACUCUUGAAAUCCCACAACCUUCCUUGUGCCUGGAAUGGUGCCCUACUCUAUGUCUUGUAGAAAAAUGCUUUGUGGGUAUUCCACACCAUUCUAGGGUAGAUUAUUUCAUUAUUUGGAAUUUCACAGGAUUUUAUUUAAUUGUCUCUGAAAACGAAACAUGCUAAACAUAAACAAACCAAAACACAGUGUCAUCUGUCAUAGUGUGCAAUUUGAGCAUUGGGACAUUGGACAAUGUGUGCUUAGUCUAGCUAUAUUUAGUUUCUCCUCCAAAGGCAAUCUUAUGAAGUAAAUAAUUCACUUCAUUCACAUUCAGCAUAUCACAUGCGCCAUCUCAAUCACUGUUGAUGACGUGAUAUGGACGUGUCAGCAAAUCAAGAUCCAAUCUAGCAGAAGGCGGGCCACUGUGUGUGAUAAAAACCUGAUGUGAUGGUCACUGAUUGAUAGUCUGGGCUGCUUGAGUCUACAGUCUGCACUGACAUGACUGUGCAGCGAUGUACAUCUCGAAUCACAUAACCAAGUCUGCCGACGACACGACCGUGGUGGGUCUCAUCAGCAAGAAUAAGGAGUCAGCAUACAGAGAGGAGAGAGGCUAACGGACUGGUGCAGAGCCAACAAGCUGUCUCUGAAUGUGGACAAAACAAAAGAGAUGGUUGUUGACUUCAUGAGAACACGGAGCGACCACAUUACUCUGAACAUUGACGGUUCCUCGAUGGAGAUCAAAUUCCUCUGUGUUCACCUGGCGGAAAACCUCACCUGCUCCCUCAACACCAGCGCCAUAGCCAAGAAAGCCCAGCAGCAUCUCUAGUUUCUGCAAAGUCUGAGAAAAUCCCAUCUCCCACCCAUCAUCUUCAACACUUUGUACAGAGGGACUUUCGAGAACAUCCUGAGCAGCUGCGUCACUGCUUGGUUUGGAAAGUCUCGGAUCGCAAGAACCUGCAGCGGCUAGUGAGGACAGCUGAAAAAACAGUCAGGAUCUCUUUUCCCUCCAUCAGCAUUGUGGAUGACCAGACACACCACAUACAAACUCUUCAUCCGCCUGCUCUCUGGCAAACGCUCCUCUACACACCUGAUCCAGCUCACCUGUGAAGCAGGUGAGUGUUCCUUUGGUGCUGGAACUGAAGUAUGAAGAUAGCCAUUCUGGCAGGCUACUCCGUUACAAAGAACCUCAAUGGAUGGCAUUGAGACAGAAGAGUGAAGGUUGUAACAUUUCCCUGGACCUGAAGUGAAGCUCUCCGUCCAGCAGAAAGGAGUGGACGAAUGAAA
Molecule: long non-coding RNA, 2905 nt
Organism: Ictalurus furcatus (blue catfish)
Lineage: Eukaryota; Metazoa; Chordata; Actinopteri; Siluriformes; Ictaluridae
Exons: 3
Source: RefSeq, a predicted model, not a curated record